UCAAACUUGGUCAUUUAGAGGAAGUAAAAGUCGUAACAAGGUUUCCGUAGGUGAACCUGCGGAAGGAUCAUUAAAAAAGAUCGAACCAAAAACAUAUGGACGAUCAAAAUCCAUAUCCACCUUGUGUGCACUUAUUGACCGUUCGCUUUGGCAGGAGUUUGGUUCCUUUGGGAUAUCCCAAAGUGGGCCGCGAAAGGGGGUGUUUCGCCCUCGGCCUGCCAGAGUUUUUUUCAAGAUCCACACUUUUUUUAAAACCUUUUUGACUGAACCCUCGUCUCGAUUCUUUGUGUAAUCGGUCGAAUCUAAUACAACUUUCAACAACGGAUCUCUUGGCUCUCGCAUCGAUGAAGAACGCAGC
This 358-nucleotide unclassified non-coding RNA is filed under the name uncultured fungus. RNAcentral's name for it is "partial contains small subunit ribosomal RNA, internal transcribed spacer 1, and 5.8S ribosomal RNA". The stretch from base 1 to 73 matches the Rfam family "Eukaryotic small subunit ribosomal RNA", at positions 1759 to 1831 of the family's 1831-position model. Lineage: Eukaryota; Fungi. The record is from RNAcentral.